ACGGGCCCUGAGAGGGGGAGCCCGGAGAUGGACUCUGAGACACGAGUCCAGGCCCUACGGGGCGCAGCAGGCGCGAAACCUUCGCAAUGCGCGAAAGCGCGACGAGGGGAGCCCGAGUGCCCUUCCUUUUGGGAGGGCUUUUCCGGAGUCUAAAAAAGCUCCGGGAAUAAGGGCUGGGCAAGACGGGUGCCAGCCGCCGCGGUAAUACCCGCAGCUCGAGUGGUGGCCACUAUUAUUGGGCCUAAAACGUCCGUAGCCGGCCUAGUAAAUGCCUGGGUAAAUCGUGAGGCUUAACCUCACGAAUCCUGGGUAGACUGCUAGGCUUGAGACCGGGCGAGGCUGGAGGUACUCCAGGGGUAGGGGUGAAAUCCUGUAAUCCCUGGAGGACGACCAGUGGCGAAAGCGUCCAGCCAGAACGGGUCUGACGGUGAGGGACGAAGCCCUGGGGCGCAAACGGGAUUAGAUACCCCGGUAGUCCAGGGUGUAAACGCUGCUCGCUUGAUGUUAGGUAGGCUUCGGGCCUACCUAGUGUCGGAGAGAAGUCGUUAAGCGAGCUGCCUGGGGAGUACGGCCGCAAGGCUG
Molecule: ribosomal RNA, 582 nt
Filed under: uncultured archaeon
Lineage: Archaea
Description: bacterial SSU rRNA
Rfam family: Archaeal small subunit ribosomal RNA
Source: RNAcentral